This is a non-coding RNA of Termitomyces sp. Mn162, 84 nucleotides long. NCBI's taxonomy places the organism in Eukaryota, Fungi, Basidiomycota, Agaricomycetes, Agaricales, Lyophyllaceae. The record is from the annotation of a GenBank genome assembly.
UCCCUCUUAGCUCAGUGGUAGAGCGCGUCACUAGUAUAACAGUGGUUUAUGACGAGGUCAGUCGUUCAAGUCGGCUAGAGGGAA